RNAcentral lists this ribosomal RNA (497 nucleotides) under uncultured bacterium. RNAcentral's name for it is "partial 16S ribosomal RNA". It matches the Rfam family "Bacterial small subunit ribosomal RNA", at positions 28 to 507 of the family's 1533-position model. The record is from RNAcentral.
GAUGAACGCUGGCGGCGUGCCUAAUACAUGCAAGUCGAGCGAACAGAUAAGGAGCUUGCUCCUUUGACGUUAGCGGCGGACGGGUGAGUAACACGUGGGUAACCUACCUAUAAGACUGGAAUAACUCCGGGAAACCGGGGCUAAUGCCGGAUAACAUUUAGAACCGCAUGGUUCUAAAGUGAAAGAUGGUUUUGCUAUCACUUAUAGAUGGACCCGCGCCGUAUUAGCUAGUUGGUAAGGUAACGGCUUACCAAGGCAACGAUACGUAGCCGACCUGAGAGAGUGAUCGGCCACACUGGAACUGGGACACGGUCCAGAGGCCUACGGGAGGCAGCAGUAGGGAAUCUGCCGCAAUGGGCGGAAGCCUGACGGAGCGACGCCGCGUGAGUGAUGAAGGUCUUCGGAUCGUAAAACUCUGUUAUUAGGGAAGAACAAAUGUGUAAGUAGCUGUGCACGUCUUGACGGUACCUAAUCAGAAAGCCACGGCUAACUACGUG